CAAUAGCGUAUAUUAAAGUUGUUGCGGUUAAAAAGCUCGUAGUUGGAUCUCGGCAGGCAGGGGGUGGUUCGCUCUUAGCGCUACUGCCCCAUUUGCCUUUGUGAUUGGCGGAGGUUUCGGGGUGCUCUUCGUUGAGUGACCCGGGGCGCCGUCAGGUUUACUUUGAAAAAAUUAGAGUGCUCAAAGCAGGCUUUUUACGCUUGAAUAUUCGUGCAUGGAAUAAUGGAAUAGGAACUCGUUUCUAUUUUGUUGGUUUUCGGAAAUCGAGUUAAUGAUUAAUAGGGACAAUUGGGGGCAUUAGUAUUCAGACGACAGAGGUGAAAUUCUUGGACCGUCUGAAGACUAACUACUGCGAAAGCAUUUGCCAAGAAUGUUUUCAUUAA
RNAcentral lists this ribosomal RNA (383 nucleotides) under uncultured eukaryote. RNAcentral describes it as "partial 18S ribosomal RNA". It matches the Rfam family "Eukaryotic small subunit ribosomal RNA", at positions 592 to 976 of the family's 1831-position model. The record is from RNAcentral.